Molecule: ribosomal RNA, 468 nt
Filed under: uncultured bacterium
Lineage: Bacteria
Description: partial 16S ribosomal RNA
Rfam family: Bacterial small subunit ribosomal RNA
Source: RNAcentral
GACGAACGCUGGCGGCGUGCUUAACACAUGCAAGUCGAACGGAAAGGCCCUGCUUUUGUGGGGUGCUCGAGUGGCGAACGGGUGAGUAACACGUGAGUAACCUGCCCUUGACUUUGGGAUAACUUCAGGAAACUGGGGCUAAUACCGGAUAGGAGCUCCUGCUGCAUGGUGGGGGUUGGAAAGUUUCGGCGGUUGGGGAUGGACUCGCGGCUUAUCAGCUUGUUGGUGGGGUAGUGGCUUACCAAGGCUUUGACGGGUAGCCGGCCUGAGAGGGUGACCGGCCACAUUGGGACUGAGAUACGGCCCAGACUCCUCCGGGAGGCAGCAGUGGGGAAUAUUGCACAAUGGGAGGAAGCCUGAUGCAGCAACGCCGCGUGCGGGAUGACGGCCUUCGGGUUGUAAACCGCUUUCGCCUGUGACGAAGCGUGAGUGACGGUAAUGGGUAAAGAAGCACCGGCUAACUACGUG